This 290-nucleotide unclassified non-coding RNA is filed under the name uncultured fungus. RNAcentral's name for it is "sequence contains ITS1, 5.8S rRNA gene". The stretch from base 242 to 290 matches the Rfam family "5.8S ribosomal RNA", at positions 1 to 49 of the family's 154-position model. The record is from RNAcentral. Lineage: Eukaryota; Fungi.
UUUCCGUAGGUGAACCUGCGGAAGGAUCAUUAUCGAAUGUAUAGUGGAGAUCGGUUGUCGCUGGCUUCUUCAUUGAGGCAUGUGCACGCCUUUCUCUAUUACAUCCACACACACCUGUGAACUUGUGAGACGGAUAGUAGUUCCUCUGAUUUAAUUCUGGGGGGGCGAGCUCCGUCUGUCAAAUACAUAAACUCCAAUUAAAUAAAUCUGAAUGUAAUCUGAUGUAACACAUCUUUAAACUAAGUUUCAACAACGGAUCUCUUGGCUCUCGCAUCGAUGAAGAACGCAGC